Molecule: small RNA, 84 nt
Filed under: Flavobacterium enshiense DK69
Lineage: Bacteria; Pseudomonadati; Bacteroidota; Flavobacteriia; Flavobacteriales; Flavobacteriaceae
Description: Flavobacterium sp. DK69 Flavo-1 RNA
Rfam family: Flavo-1 RNA
Source: Rfam by way of RNAcentral
UAAUAGCCCCGAUGGAAGUAAAAAUCCUUUUAUUUCGUUAAAAGUAACGAAAUAAAAGAAUUGCAACGUACAGCGGGAAUAUGG